Molecule: small RNA, 29 nt
Filed under: Bombyx mori (domestic silkworm)
Lineage: Eukaryota; Metazoa; Arthropoda; Insecta; Lepidoptera; Bombycidae
Description: piRNA piR-bmo-1819903
Source: RNAcentral
UCAUUGCUCAAGUACUCAGCCCCAUUAUC